RNAcentral lists this ribosomal RNA (470 nucleotides) under uncultured Citrobacter sp. RNAcentral's name for it is "bacterial SSU rRNA". It matches the Rfam family "Bacterial small subunit ribosomal RNA", at positions 335 to 797 of the family's 1533-position model. Lineage: Bacteria; Pseudomonadati; Pseudomonadota; Gammaproteobacteria; Enterobacterales; Enterobacteriaceae. The record is from RNAcentral.
UUUCCUACGGGGGGCUGCAGUGGGGAAUAUUGCACAAUGGGCGCAAGCCUGAUGCAGCCAUGCCGCGUGUAUGAAGAAGGCCUUCGGGUUGUAAAGUACUUUCAGCGGGGAGGAAGGUGUUGUGGUUAAUAACCGCAGCAAUUGACGUUACCCGCAGAAGAAGCACCGGCUAACUCCGUGCCAGCAGCCGCGGUAAUACGGAGGGUGCAAGCGUUAAUCGGAAUUACUGGGCGUAAAGCGCACGCAGGCGGUCUGUCAAGUCGGAUGUGAAAUCCCCGGGCUCAACCUGGGAACUGCAUUCGAAACUGGCAGGCUAGAGUCUUGUAGAGGGGGGUAGAAUUCCAGGUGUAGCGGUGAAAUGCGUAGAGAUCUGGAGGAAUACCGGUGGCGAAGGCGGCCCCCUGGACAAAGACUGACGCUCAGGUGCGAAAGCGUGGGGAGCAAACAGGAUUAGAUACACUGGUAGUCUU